Molecule: ribosomal RNA, 367 nt
Filed under: uncultured bacterium
Lineage: Bacteria
Description: partial 16S ribosomal RNA
Rfam family: Bacterial small subunit ribosomal RNA
Source: RNAcentral
CCUACGGGAGGCAGCAGUGGGGGAUAUUGCACAAUGGGGGGAACCCUGAUGCAGCGACGCCGCGUGGGUGACGAUGCCCUUCGGGGCGUAAAGCUCUGUCUUCAGGGAAGAAAAUGACGGUACCUGAAGAAGAAGCCACGGCUAACUACGUGCCAGCAGCCGCGGUAAUACGUAGGGGGCAAGCGUUGUCCGGAUUUACUGGGUGUAAAGGGAGCGCAGGCGGGAGUGGAAGCCAGGGGGGAAAGCCCCGGGCCCAACCUGGGGACUGCAUUUGAAACUGGAAGGCUGGAGUGCAGGAGAGGAGGGUGGAAUGCCUGGUGUAGCGGUGAAAUGCGUAGAUAUCAGGAAGAACACCAGUGGCGAAGGC